AGUAGGACGCACAGUUUAUACCGUAGCUUGCUACACCAUAGACUGUGAGUUGCGAACGGGUGAGUAACGCGUAGGUAACCUGCCUAUUAGAGGGGGAUAACUAUUGGAAACGAUAGCUAAUACCGCAUAACAGUAUGUAACACAUGUUAGAUGCUUGAAAGAUGCAAUUGCAUCGCUAGUAGAUGGACCUGCGUUGUAUUAGCUAGUAGGUAGGGUAAUGGCCUACCUAGGCGACGAUACAUAGCCGACCUGAGAGGGUGAUCGGCCACACUGGGACUGAGACACGGCCCAGACUCCUACGGGAGGCAGCAGUAGGGAAUCUUCGGCAAUGGGGGGAACCCUGACCGAGCAACGCCGCGUGAGUGAAGAAGGUUUUCGGAUCGUAAAGCUCUGUUGUUAAGGAAGAACGAGUGUGAGAAUGGAAAGUUCAUACUGUGACGGUACUUAACCAGAAAGGGACGGCUAACUACGUGCCAGCAGCCGCGGUAAUACGUAGGUCCCGAGCGUUGUCCGGAUUUAUUGGGCGUAAAGCGAGCGCAGGCGGUUAGAAAAGUCUGAAGUGAAAGGCAGUGGCUCAACCAUUGUAGGCUUUGGAAACUGUUUAACUUGAGUGCAGAAGGGGAGAGUGGAAUUCCAUGUGUAGCGGUGAAAUGCGUAGAUAUAUGGAGGAACACCGGUGGCGAAAGCGGCUCUCUGGUCUGUAACUGACGCUGAGGCUCGAAAGC
This 725-nucleotide ribosomal RNA is filed under the name Streptococcus sp. HGH0023. RNAcentral's name for it is "bacterial SSU rRNA". It matches the Rfam family "Bacterial small subunit ribosomal RNA", at positions 60 to 760 of the family's 1533-position model. Lineage: Bacteria; Bacillati; Bacillota; Bacilli; Lactobacillales; Streptococcaceae. The record is from RNAcentral. RNAcentral also lists the same sequence under 1 other name.